RNAcentral lists this ribosomal RNA (425 nucleotides) under uncultured bacterium. Its description in RNAcentral is "partial 16S ribosomal RNA". It matches the Rfam family "Bacterial small subunit ribosomal RNA", at positions 354 to 796 of the family's 1533-position model. The record is from RNAcentral.
GUGGGGAAUAUUGGACAAUGGGCGAAAGCCUGAUCCAGCAAUGCCGCGUGAGUGAUGAAGGCCCUAGGGUUGUAAAGCUCUUUUACCCGGGAUGAUAAUGACAGUACCGGGAGAAUAAGCUCCGGCUAACUCCGUGCCAGCAGCCGCGGUAAUACGGAGGGAGCUAGCGUUGUUCGGAAUUACUGGGCGUAAAGCGCGCGUAGGCGGUUUUCCAAGUCAGGGGUGAAAGCCCGGGGCUCAACCCCGGAAUAGAAGUUGAAAAUGGAAGACUAGUAUGUUGGAGAGGUCAGUAGAAUUCCGAGUGUAGAGGUGAAAUUCGUAGAUAUUCGGAAGAACACCAGUGGCGAAGGCGACUUUCUGGACGAUGUCUGACGCUGAGGCGCGAAAGCUAGGGGAGCGAACGGGAUUAGAAACCCUUGUAGUCC